Molecule: long non-coding RNA, 588 nt
Filed under: Homo sapiens (human)
Lineage: Eukaryota; Metazoa; Chordata; Mammalia; Primates; Hominidae
Description: non-protein coding lnc-DMAC1-2:2
Source: RNAcentral
AGCUUCUGCACCUUUACUAAAAGUAUGUGCAUGAUUUAGGAGAAAUAUUUUGAAAUAUUAGGGUUUUUCACAGCCCUAAAUUACUCUUUUGUGGUCAUCGGCAAAUGCAGGCUACCUGGUUAUAUAUUUUGAUGGGGAAGAAGAGGGGAAAUUCAGGACCUACAUAAGAGAUUAAAGUAAAAUCUAAUACAAAAUUGAGAUUGGUAACACAGCACAGAAGUGCCAAAACUGCAUGGAUAAGUGAUUUUGAAAACCAUCAAACAGACAUUCCACAAGGUCAACCAAAAUGCAGUGUGCCGGAGAGUAAUGAGUGACUUUAGUCCAAUAGUUAUUCAAGUGCCUGAGAGAAAGUUUUUCUCUUCUGCUAGCCUCUUUCCCUUAUAGGAGAAUAUUAUGUAAUGCAUACAUUUCAUCUUACCUUUAAUUGCCUGGUUUAAUAAUAAAUACUUAACAAUUUUUUUGUAAUUUUUGCCAUACCGGAGGAGAAAUCUGUCUUGGUGUUGGAGCCUCUUGGAAUUCGUGACAAGGAAAAAAGUACACCAAGUAAACUAGUAAAACAAAAGUGAGAAGGCCCUUGACAGAUGUGAG